Long non-coding RNA from Aphidius gifuensis, 227 nucleotides. RefSeq lists it as uncharacterized. Lineage: Eukaryota; Metazoa; Arthropoda; Insecta; Hymenoptera; Braconidae. The record is from RefSeq and is a predicted model, not a curated record. The transcript has 3 exons.
GCAGGAGGAGAGGUCAUCCAGAGAAGCCACCGUCCCCGUUGCCGCUAACCAAGAUAACACUGGUGAUGAUGACCCAGCUGCCAGGUUAGAGCAAGAGGAGCUGGAGCAGAGGUUAUCUGGAGAACCCACCGUCCCUGUUGCAGAUAACCCAGAUAACACUGGUGAUGAUGACCCAGCUGCCAGGUUAGAGCAAGAGGAGCUGGAGCAGAGGUUAUCUGGAGAACCCA